Tachyglossus aculeatus (Australian echidna) is the source of this 601-nucleotide long non-coding RNA. RefSeq lists it as uncharacterized. The transcript is spliced from 3 exons. Lineage: Eukaryota; Metazoa; Chordata; Mammalia; Monotremata; Tachyglossidae. The record is from RefSeq and is a predicted model, not a curated record.
GACCACCAGAUUACUGAUCGGUGCUUUCAUGUCCAGUCUCCUGGUGAGCCAUUUCUAUAAAAAUUCCUGGAAUACAACACUAUCCAUGCUCACCCUGUCAGUCUGUGGGAUGCUGUAAAGCCCGGGACAGAUGCCCCCACUGAAUCGACCCCCACCAAGUAUACCUUCAGACUGCCACUCCAGAGGUCAAGGAUGUUUUCUAUCUGGUGAAAGUUUUCAUCUGAAAGGGGUUUGCCAAACACUUCCCAGGCCCUGGUGAGCCAAUAUCUCUCAGUGAACCUUCCACUUAUGGAUGCAGUCUCAGUGUCGGCAGCAUGGUCUUCAAACCAAAGUGAAAUCGGGAGUGGCCCUAAUUCCUGCAGUUGGAAGAAAUGGCAGGAGGAGAAUGACUACUGAAGGAAAGAGGAAAACGUAUGGACCAUAACCAUACAGUGGUCUCGUAAAGUAUGUAAAAGGACCUGGGAUCAUUAUCGCUGAAUUUUACUCUUCCAAUUAACUGAAACACCUACUCUCAGGUAUCAAGUUUUUAGUGGUGUAUACUUUUUUUAGUGUUUUCUCUCUCUAAUUUGCCUUAUUUGCCAAGGGGUCACGUGUUGUGACA